GACAGAAACAGACAUAAAUUAAACACAUACAUGGCAUAAUUCAUAAACACACCCAAACUUGGUCUUGACUGGCAAGUAAGCACUCCAACUUUGAGAGUGCACAUCUUGUAAGUUGGAGCGUUCAACUGACACAACAGAGGUGUCUAGACCUCAUACAUAUGCUAAAAAGGGCUGUUGGUUAGAGCUAAGUAAAAUCACUGGCAUACCGGAGAUGGCCAACCACCCUAAAAAAUCCUUGUUUACUCCGAUUACCUCAUUUUUGAGCUAAAAAAUUGAUAAAGCACUGC
This 287-nucleotide long non-coding RNA is filed under the name Solanum lycopersicum (tomato). RNAcentral's name for it is "partial TCONS_00190889". Lineage: Eukaryota; Viridiplantae; Streptophyta; Magnoliopsida; Solanales; Solanaceae. The record is from RNAcentral.